Molecule: ribosomal RNA, 1244 nt
Filed under: metagenome
Description: bacterial LSU rRNA
Rfam family: Bacterial large subunit ribosomal RNA
Source: RNAcentral
UGAAUACGAGAUGCUACGGCGUCGAAGCAGUGUAUGUCAGACUUCCAAGAAAAGCUCGCAAUGUCAUAAAUAAAGAAUGCCUGUACCAUAACCGACACAGGUGGGUAGGUAGAGUAUACUAAGGGGCGCGAGAUAACUCUCUCUAAGGAACUCGGCAAAGUAACUCCGUAACUUCGGGAGAAGGAGUGCCUUCUUUAAGAAGGUUGCAAUAACAAGAUCCAAGCAACUGUUUAUCAAAAACACAGGUCUCCGCUAAGUCGUAAGACGAUGUAUGGGGGCUGACGCCUGCCCAGUGCCAGAAGGUUAAAGAAGUUGGUUAGCUUUUGCGAAGCUGAUGACUGAAGCCCUGGUGAACGGCGGCCGUAACAAUAACGGUCCUAAGGUAGCGAAAUUCCUUGUCGGGUAAGUUCCGACCCGCACGAAAGGCGUAAUGAUUUGGAUACUGUCUCGGAGAGGGACUCGGUGAAAUAGACUUGUCUGUGAAGAUGCGGACUACCUGCACCAGGACAGAAAGACCCUAUGAAGCUUUACUGUAACUUGAAAUUGAAAUUGGACUUUAUUUGCGCAGUAUAGGUGGAAGGCGUUGAAAGUAAUCUUGCGGGAUUAGUGGAGCCAUCAGUGAGAUACCACUCCUAUAAUGUUAGAUUUCUAACUUUGGAUCAUGAUCUGGUCAAAGAACAGUUUCAGGUGGGCAGUUUGACUGGGGCGGUCGCCUCCCAAAUGGUAACGGAGGCGUACAAAGGUUUCCUCUGAACGGGUAGAAAUCGUAUCUAGAGUGUAAAGGCAUAAGGAAGCUUGACUGUGAGACCUACAAGUCGAGCAGGGACGAAAGUCGGUCUUAGUGAUCUGACGGUGCUGAGUGGAAAGGCCGUCACUCAACGGAUAAAAGUUACUCUAGGAUAACAGGCUGAUCUCCCCCAAGAGUUCACAUCGACGGGGAGGUUUGGCACCUCGAUGUCGGCUCAUCGCAUCCUGGGGCGGUAGUACGUCCCAAGGGUUGGGCUGUCCGCCCAUGAAAGCGGUACGCGAGCUGGGUUCAGAACGUCGUGAGACAGUUCGGUCCAUAUCCGGUGUAGGCGUUAGAAUAUUGAGAGGAGCCUUCUUUAGUACGAGAGGACCGAGAAGGACAUACCUCUGGUGUACCAGUUAUCGUGCCAACGGUAAACGCUGGGUAGCUAUGUAUGGAGAGGAUAACCGCUGAAAGCAUCUAAGUGGGAAGCCCACCUCAAGAUGAGUAUUCUCGU